Molecule: ribosomal RNA, 880 nt
Filed under: uncultured bacterium
Lineage: Bacteria
Description: bacterial SSU rRNA
Rfam family: Bacterial small subunit ribosomal RNA
Source: RNAcentral
GCGAAUUCGCCUUUGCAGCAGCCGCGGUAUACGUAGUGGCAGCGUGUCGAUAUGGCGUAAAGCGCGGCAGCCGUCUUUUAGUCUGAUUGAAGCCCCGCUCACGGGGAGGGUCAUGAAACUGGAGACUGAGUACAGAGAGGAGAGUGGAUUCACGUGUAGCGGUGAAAUGCGUAGAUAUGUGGAGGAACACCAGUGGCGAAGGCGACUCUCUGGUCUGUAACUGACGCUGAGGCGCGAAAGCGUGGGGAGCAAACAGGAUUAGAUACCCUGGUAGUCCACGCCGUAAACGAUGAGUGCUAGGUGUUAGGGGUUUCGAUGCCCUUAGUGCCGAAGUUAACACAUUAAGCACUCCGCCUGGGGAGUACGACCGCAAGGUUGAAACUCAAAGGAAUUGACGGGGGCCCGCACAAGCAGUGGAGCAUGUGGUUUAAUUCGAAGCAACGCGAAGAACCUUACCAGGUCUUGACAUCCUUUGACCACCCUAGAGAUAGGGCUUUCCCCUUCGGGGGACAAAGUGACAGGUGGUGCAUGGUUGUCGUCAGCUCGUGUCGUGAGAUGUUGGGUUAAGUCCCGCAACGAGCGCAACCCUUGAUCUUAGUUGCCAGCAUUCAGUUGGGCACUCUAAGGUGACUGCCGGUGAUAAACCGGAGGAAGGUGGGGAUGACGUCAAAUCAUCAUGCCCCUUAUGACCUGGGCUACACACGUGCUACAAUGGAUGGUACAAAGGGCUGCGAAACCGCGAGGUUGAGCGAAUCCCAUAAAGCCAUUCUCAGUUCGGAUUGUAGGCUGCAACUCGCCUACAUGAAGCCGGAAUUGCUAGUAAUCGCGGAUCAGCAUGCCGCGGUGAAUACGUUCCCGGGCCUUGUACUCACCGCCCGUC